AGGGUUUGAUCAUGGCUCAGAACGUACGCUGGCGGCACGCCUAACACAUGCAAGUCGAACGCAGUAGCAAUACUGAGUGGCGAACGGGUGAGUAUAAUGUAGGUAUCUGCCUUUUGGUUUGGAAUAACACGAGGAAACUUGUGCUAAUACCGGAUAAGCCUUCACAGGGAAAGUUUUAACGCCAAAAGAUGAGCCUGCACUUGAUUAGCUAGUUGGUAAGGUAAUGGCUUACCAAGGCUACGAUCAAUAGCUGAUCUGAGAGGAUGAUCAGCCACAUUGGGACUGAGACACGGCCCAAACUCCUACGGGAGGCAGCAGUGGGGAAUUUUGCACAAUGGGGGAAACCCUGAUGCAGCGAUGCCGCGUGAGUGAAGAAGGCCUUUGGGUUGUAAAGCUCUUUCGUCGGGGAAGAAAAUGACUGUACCCGAAUAAGAAGGUCCGGCUAACUUCGUGCCAGCAGCCGCGGUAAUACGAAGGGACCUAGCGUAGUUCGGAAUUACUGGGCUUAAAGAGCUCGUAGGUGGUUAGAAAAGUUGGUGGUGAAAUCCCAAGGCUUAACCUUGGAACUGCCACUAAAACUUUUUGACUAGAGUAUGAUAGAGGAAAGUGGAAUUUCUAG
Molecule: ribosomal RNA, 619 nt
Filed under: uncultured bacterium
Lineage: Bacteria
Description: bacterial SSU rRNA
Rfam family: Bacterial small subunit ribosomal RNA
Source: RNAcentral